Molecule: transfer RNA, 72 nt
Filed under: Bos grunniens (domestic yak)
Lineage: Eukaryota; Metazoa; Chordata; Mammalia; Artiodactyla; Bovidae
Also listed under: 3 other names
Rfam family: tRNA
About the family: Transfer RNA (tRNA) molecules are approximately 80 nucleotides in length. Their secondary structure includes four short double-helical elements and three loops (D, anti-codon, and T loops). Further hydrogen bonds mediate the characteristic L-shaped molecular structure. tRNAs have two regions of fundamental functional importance: the anti-codon, which is responsible for specific mRNA codon recognition, and the 3' end, to which the tRNAs corresponding amino acid is attached (by aminoacyl-tRNA synthetases). tRNAs cope with the degeneracy of the genetic code in two manners: having more than one tRNA (with a specific anti-codon) for a particular amino acid; and 'wobble' base-pairing, i.e. permitting non-standard base-pairing at the 3rd anti-codon position.
Source: Rfam by way of RNAcentral
UCCCUGGUGGCUCAGAUGGUAAAGCGUCUGCCUGCAAUGCAGGAGACCCGGGUUCGAUUCCUGGAUUGGGAA